GACGAACGCUGGCGGCGUGCUUAACACAUGCAAGUCGAACGGAAAGGCCCUGCUUUUGUGGGGUGCUCGAGUGGCGAACGGGUGAGUAACACGUGAGUAACCUGCCCUUGACUUUGGGAUAACUUCAGGAAACUGGGGCUAAUACCGGAUAGGAGCUCCUGCUGCAUGGUGGGGGUUGGAAAGUUUCGGCGGUUGGGGAUGGACUCGCGGCUUAUCAGCUUGUUGGUGGGGUAGUGGCUUACCAAGGCUUUGACGGGUAGCCGGCCUGAGAGGGUGACCGGGCCCAGUUGGGCAGUGAGAUGGCCCCGGGCCCUAGGGGGGGGGAGGGGUGGGGAAAUGUGCAAAAGGGGGGGGAGCCGGAGAGAGCAACGCCGGGGGGGGGAGGGCGGCCUGGGGUUUGUAAACCGCUUUCCCCGGUGGAGAAGGGGUAGGGGCGGAAAGGGGUAAAGAAACCGCGGCUAACUACGU
Molecule: ribosomal RNA, 468 nt
Filed under: uncultured bacterium
Lineage: Bacteria
Description: partial 16S ribosomal RNA
Rfam family: Bacterial small subunit ribosomal RNA
Source: RNAcentral